Long non-coding RNA from Spinacia oleracea (spinach), 377 nucleotides. RefSeq lists it as uncharacterized. The record is from RefSeq and is a predicted model, not a curated record. The transcript has 3 exons. Lineage: Eukaryota; Viridiplantae; Streptophyta; Magnoliopsida; Caryophyllales; Amaranthaceae.
CGGCGCUCCUCCGCCGUCGCUGCUGCACGCAACCACAUCAGCCACCGAGCUCGACUGCCGGCGACCAAGACCACCGGUCUUCCUCCAUCGGUAACGCUCUCCGCACCUUCGUCCUUCUUCCUCUCAUUCGUUUUUCCUUUUCUUUUUCUCAUUCGUUUUUCUUCCUUCUUACGUUAUUUCAUUUCUUGCCUCCUCCUCUUUCGAUUUUUGCACAACCGCCGCCUAGUCGUGCAACCACUCCUCCGCUGCCGCCGAGCAGUUCUUCCGCUGCCGGCCGCACCUCACACCGCCUGCCACCUUCGUCAUCCCUUGUUGGCGGAGAAUUCUCUUUAGGCGACUUUUGAAAGUGUUAAAGUGGCCUAUCAGUUUGUUUACAC